AGGACGAACGCUGGCGGCGCGCUUAACACAUGCAAGUCGAACGUGAAGCCGGAGCUUGCUCCGGUGGAAAGUGGCGAACGGGUGCGUAACACGUGAGCAACCUGCCCCGAAGACUGGGAUAACACCGGGAAACCGGUGCUAAUACCGGAUAUCUUCUUCCGAUCGCAUGGUUGGAUGAAGAAAUGGAUUCCGCUUCGGGAUGGGCUCGCGGCCUAUCAGCUUGUUGGUGAGGUAACGGCCCACCAAGGCGACGACGGGUAGCUGGUCUGAGAGGACGACCAGCCACACUGGGACUGAGACACGGCCCAGACUCCUACGGGAGGCAGCAGUGGGGAAUCUUGCUCAAUGGGCGAAAGCCUGAAGCAGCGACGCCGCGUGCGGGAUGAAGGCCUUCGGGUUGUAACCGCUUUCAGCAGGGACGAAUUGACGGUACCUGCAGAAGAAGGCCCGGCAACUACGUGCCAGCAGCCGC
This 472-nucleotide ribosomal RNA is filed under the name uncultured bacterium. RNAcentral describes it as "SSU rRNA". It matches the Rfam family "Bacterial small subunit ribosomal RNA", at positions 26 to 518 of the family's 1533-position model. The record is from RNAcentral.